CACUGUGUGUGUGCGUGUGCGUGUGUGUGCUGAGAGGAGAGAGAGAGAGACUGGUUUGGUGGUGGAAUUUUCUGGCCAUGGGGCCAGCAUCCUGGCACAGGUGAGGUGCGCCUGAAAGGGGAAAUGAUUUGCCCAAGGCAGUGCCCCUAGGAAUGGCCGAAGUCCGUCUAAACACCAUGUCUUCUGACUCUCAAUCCAGUAUCUUUCCCACUCUCCCUCAUUUCCAGGCAUGGCUUGCUCGUUUUUCAAAAAUCAUCUCGAAGGAUGUCCCAGUUCAACUUCGCCCCAGUUGCUCCAGCGCAGCCCCACGCCAGAACUUGAGCGAGAGCAGCAGUCCGCCUGCCGGGAGGGGGCGCUCGGCGAGGCGGCGGGGCGGCGGGGCGGCGGGGCGGCGGGGCGGCGGGGCGGCGGGGCGGGGCUCUCACUGGUACGAGCUCGGCCGCCCGUCCAAUCAGAGGCGCCGCGCCGUCGCGGGGCCCGUCCGCGGGAAUUUGAAGUGCCUGACUGGGUGGCCGGGAGACGGAGUCUCGGGGUCGCGUGCACCUGGGCGGCCAGGGAGGCUCCAGUGCCCGGGAGAAAGGCAAGAAAACUGA
RNAcentral lists this long non-coding RNA (593 nucleotides) under Pan troglodytes (chimpanzee). RNAcentral's name for it is "lncRNA (ENSPTRG00000054378.1)". Lineage: Eukaryota; Metazoa; Chordata; Mammalia; Primates; Hominidae. The record is from RNAcentral.